UUGGAAGUGAACCAUCUCAGUACCCCCAGGAAGAGAAAGCGACAGCGAUUCCGUCAGUAGCGGCGAGCGAACGCGGAACAGCCUAAACCGACAGGGCGUGAUAGCCCGCGAGCGUUGCCUUGUCGGGGUCGUGGGACGUUACCGGGUCCGGUUGCGGACGGGCCGGAGAGUCAGAAACCACCAGCCUAGCCGAAGGUCUCUGGAAGGUGCAGCCACAGAGGGUGAUAGCCCCGUAGGCGAAAGGUUCGGUGGCUCUCUAGUAGCGUUCCCAAGUACCACGGGACACGUGGAACCCUGUGGGAAUCCGGGUGGACCAUCACCCAAGGCUAAAUACUCCUCUGCGACCGAUAGUGAACCAGUACCGUGAGGGAAAGGUGAAAAGAACCCCUGUUAGGGGAGUGAAAUAGUACCUGAAACCGUGCAUCUACAAGCAGUGGAAGCGCUAUGGCGCAAGCCAGCGCGACCGCGUGCCUUUUGCAUAAUGAGCCGGCUAGUU
This 496-nucleotide ribosomal RNA is filed under the name uncultured Acidobacteriota bacterium. Its description in RNAcentral is "bacterial LSU rRNA". It matches the Rfam family "Bacterial large subunit ribosomal RNA", at positions 187 to 629 of the family's 2925-position model. The record is from RNAcentral. Lineage: Bacteria; Pseudomonadati; Acidobacteriota.